UAAUGAACAGGGACCUGAGUACAAGGGAUAAGGCCUCAGCGAUAACAGAAUAAUGAAAGGAAGAUGGUUUCUAGGCAUUGAAGAAAUUUUUGGAAAAAUUAUUCAAGAUAUGAACCACUUCUCUCUGGAAUAUCUCAGAAUGCCUUCACAAACUUACUCAUCCAAUGGAGUUCCGUAAUUUUCUACCUAAAUGCUCACUGAAACUCCAGGCCAGGAAAAUAAAGUAACCACCAUUUGAAUAUAGCCCCA
This 249-nucleotide long non-coding RNA is filed under the name Oryctolagus cuniculus (rabbit). RNAcentral describes it as "lncRNA (ENSOCUG00000034457.1)". The record is from RNAcentral. Lineage: Eukaryota; Metazoa; Chordata; Mammalia; Lagomorpha; Leporidae.